Molecule: ribosomal RNA, 393 nt
Filed under: Temora sp.
Lineage: Eukaryota; Metazoa; Arthropoda; Copepoda; Calanoida; Temoridae
Description: partial small subunit ribosomal RNA
Rfam family: Eukaryotic small subunit ribosomal RNA
Source: RNAcentral
AUUCCAGCUCCAAUAGCGUAUAUUAAAGUUGUUGUGGUUAAAAAGCUCGUAGUUGGAUUUCGGUGGGUAUAGGUUGGUUUGAAUUGCUUCAAUACUGACUUUUUUACCCGUGUGUUUUGCCAGAAUUUAACGGGUGAUCUUCGCCGAUUGUCUGUUAGAACUGACAGGUUUACUUUGAAAAAAUUAGAGUGCUCAAAGCAAGCUUGAUUGCUUGAAUAUUCGUGCAUGGAAUAAUAGAAUAGGAAGUCGUUUCUAUUUUGUUGGUUUUCGGAAAUCGACUUAAUGAUUAAUAGGGACAGUCGGGGGCAUUUGUAUUCAAACGACAGAGGUGAAAUUCUUGGACCGUUUGAAGACAAACUACUGCGAAAGCAUUUGCCAAGAAUGUUUUCAUCA